This 254-nucleotide ribosomal RNA is filed under the name uncultured bacterium. RNAcentral describes it as "partial 16S ribosomal RNA". It matches the Rfam family "Bacterial small subunit ribosomal RNA", at positions 524 to 776 of the family's 1533-position model. The record is from RNAcentral.
UACGUAGGGGGCGAGCGUUGUCCGGAUUUAUUGGGCGUAAAGAGCUCGUAGGCGGUUUGGUAAGUUGGAUGUGAAAUCUCCAGGCUCAACUUGGAGGGGUCAUUCGAUACUGCCAUGACUAGAGUUCGGUAGGGGAGUGUGGAAUUCCUGGUGGAGCGGUGAAAUGCGUAGAUAUCUGGAGGAACACCGGUGGCGAAGGCGGCAUCCUGGACCGGUAUUGACGCUGAGGCGCGAAAGCCAGGGGAGCAAACGGG